GCGAACGAGGAACUCUAUCAAAUCUAUUUAAGUCAAUUCACCAUUUGAUUACCAGACUCAUCAAGUGUAAUUAUCGUUGUAAUAGGCCCAAUUUGCCCGGGCCCAAAAACACAAACAAAAAAAUAAAUCAAAUAUAAAAACAAAUAAAAUUAAAAUGCCAUUAUUGAACAGUCCAGUUUUUUUACAGACCAAGUUAAAUUAAGCCCAAACCCGAUUACAAAAUCCAAAUACCCAAUGAACCCCAACACCAGCCCUAUGCCCAGCCCAAAUCAAGGUCGAAACCCUAGCAGUCUCUGAAACAGAAGCAGACUCCAGCGCCGUAGCCAAG
This 328-nucleotide long non-coding RNA is filed under the name Gossypium raimondii (Peruvian cotton). Its description in RNAcentral is "long non-coding RNA (GRAI_LNC002548)". The record is from RNAcentral. Lineage: Eukaryota; Viridiplantae; Streptophyta; Magnoliopsida; Malvales; Malvaceae.